GCGGACGGGUGAGUAACACGUGGGCAACCUGCCCGCAAGACCGGGAUAACUCCGGGAAACCGGAGCUAAUACCGGAUAACACCGAAGACCGCAUGGUCCUCGGUUGAAAGGCAGCCUUUGGGCUGUCACUUGCGGAUGGGCCCGCGGCGCAUUAGCUAGUUGGUGAGGUAACGGCUCACCAAGGCGACGAUGCGUAGCCGGCCUGAGAGGGUGACCGGCCACACUGGGACUGAGACACGGCCCAGACUCCUACGGGAGGCAGCAGUAGGGAAUCUUCCGCAAUGGGCGAAAGCCUGACGGAGCGACGCCGCGUGAGCGAAGAAGGCCUUCGGGUCGUAAAGCUCUGUUGUGAGGGACGAAGGAGCGCCGUUCGAAGAGGGCGGCGCGGUG
RNAcentral lists this ribosomal RNA (390 nucleotides) under uncultured bacterium. Its description in RNAcentral is "bacterial SSU rRNA". It matches the Rfam family "Bacterial small subunit ribosomal RNA", at positions 98 to 471 of the family's 1533-position model. The record is from RNAcentral.